Non-coding RNA from Caenorhabditis elegans, 72 nucleotides. The record is from Ensembl. NCBI's taxonomy places the organism in Eukaryota, Metazoa, Nematoda, Chromadorea, Rhabditida, Rhabditidae.
GAAAUUUAAAGCAAAGGAAAAAUCGAAGUCUGUGAGAUAAUGGAGAAAGAAACUUAGCAAGCAGAUGACUCA